ACCUUUAGUCAGGACUGCAGAUAA
This 24-nucleotide non-coding RNA is filed under the name Cricetulus griseus (Chinese hamster). Lineage: Eukaryota; Metazoa; Chordata; Mammalia; Rodentia; Cricetidae. The record is from RNAcentral.